Long non-coding RNA from Hibiscus syriacus, 521 nucleotides. RefSeq lists it as uncharacterized. The transcript has 3 exons. Lineage: Eukaryota; Viridiplantae; Streptophyta; Magnoliopsida; Malvales; Malvaceae. The record is from RefSeq and is a predicted model, not a curated record.
CAGGUUCCAGAGUUUUUUACAACAGCUGCAGCCCUUGCCAUACCCAAAGCCAUUUCAAAUGCUGGGUUGGCAGCUUCUCAAAUUGAUUACUAUGAAAACAAUGAAGCCUUUGCUGUUGUGGCUCUUGCAAACCAGAAACUGCUUGACCUCAAUCCAGAGAAGGUUAACGUGAACGGUGGAGCUGUAUCCUUGGGAUAUCCUUUGGGUUGCAGUGGAGCCCGUAUCUUAGUCGCACUUUUAGGCAUUUUGAAGCAGAGAAAUAGGAAAUACGGAGUUGGUGGUGUUUGCAACGGAGGUGGAGGUGCAUCCGCACUCGUUGUAGACCUUCUGCAAGCGGUUUUUAUGUUUAGGUAAGUCUCAUGCAUACUGAAAUAAUUAGUAAAUACAAAUUCCCAACCUGCAAAACUGCAAAAAUGAAUGAGGUUGGGAACUUUUAGAAUCUAAAUCAUAUCAUUAACCAUCUUGUCCACAGAUGUGAUUGUGAGCUCUUUAUUUACAAAUUCAAUAUUGUACGAUGUUGC